This 253-nucleotide ribosomal RNA is filed under the name uncultured bacterium. RNAcentral describes it as "partial 16S ribosomal RNA". It matches the Rfam family "Bacterial small subunit ribosomal RNA", at positions 524 to 776 of the family's 1533-position model. The record is from RNAcentral.
UACGGAGGGUGCAAGCGUUAUCCGGAUUUACUGGGUUUAAAGGGUGCGUAGGCGGGUUGGCAAGUCAGUGGUGAAAUCUUCAAGCUUAACUUGGAAACUGCCGUUGAUACUAUCAAUCUUGAAUAUUGUGGAGGUAAGCGGAAUAUGUCAUGUAGCGGUGAAAUGCUUAGAUAUGACAUAGAACACCGAUAGCGAAGGCAGCUUGCUACACAGUAAUUGACGCUGAGGCACGAAAGCGUGGGGAGCAAACAGG